Ornithorhynchus anatinus (platypus) is the source of this 425-nucleotide long non-coding RNA. RefSeq lists it as uncharacterized. The transcript is spliced from 4 exons. NCBI's taxonomy places the organism in Eukaryota, Metazoa, Chordata, Mammalia, Monotremata, Ornithorhynchidae. The record is from RefSeq and is a predicted model, not a curated record.
CCUGCUCUCCCUCCCACUUCUACUCUGAGUCUCAUAUCUGACCUGAAUUUCUUGCAUCUGUCCCAGCCCUCAUUAAGGAUGAUGAUAAAUUCAAGAGCAGUAGGACAUCAUGGUUCCUUGUGGCUCAUUCCAAAAGUCACGAAAGUUGCUGUUGCAGCCACAGUCACAACUUUCCCAACGUUCCAAAAGUUGAGAAGGAACCUAUCAUCUGCGUCCAGAUCUCUCUAGACAUCCCGAUCUUCCCGAAGCCCAGACUUAGGUAACACCAUAAUUAUCCGUCCUGAAUUGACUUUGGGAAAAAAGAAGCUCCCUCACCCAGCAAUAUUUAGUGUAGAAAAUAAGAAGUCUGGUAUUUCUAAAGACACAAAAGAGUUCUGACCUGGAAAACAGCAUGAGGGCUGUGAUUUCACUUGGUAAGGAGGCAC